Molecule: long non-coding RNA, 437 nt
Organism: Brassica napus (rape)
Lineage: Eukaryota; Viridiplantae; Streptophyta; Magnoliopsida; Brassicales; Brassicaceae
Exons: 2
Source: RefSeq, a predicted model, not a curated record
UUUUUUUUUUGGUAAUUGUUUUUUUUUCUGGUGUCGGAGAAGAGAGGUUGGCUUGUUCUUAUAAAGGAGGAGAGAUCCGAAGCCGAGGAGGCCCAGACGAUGAAAGCUGACUAGGCACUGUAAAUGCCACGUCACGUGCGUGGUGGUAAAUCUUUUUUACGGAGACGUGUCAGUAACUGCUAAUAGGUAAAUUACGCCUCUGACCUCCACUGCCGUCGAAUAUCCGUAACUAUCCGGAAAUGGAUAUUAUGUUAUUUUUUAUAGCGAAACAGACUCUUAACCAAUAGUUAAACAACACGUAGCUAAAGCAAAUCUUAUUUACUCCUCGUUCGGGACCGUCGGGGUAUAUUGUACUAUCUUAUGAGAAGUAAAAUACAAAUGUGGUAUAUUACUAAUAUUUAAUUUUCGAUGAAAAAAUAAUCUAGUUUAAUUUUUAA